ACGAAUAAUAACCGCGAGAACAAACAAGGCCUUGAGAACCGGUUGACGAAAAACAUCGCGGGAUAAGCGCAUCGGUGUAUAAUAAUAUUACGUUACACGGACAGGACAUUCUUAACAUACUCAAUGUACCCGGCGGUACACACCGUCCCGGAUGGCUACAGUCGUUACCGUAAUGGCAACGCGCUGCGGUUUACGAUAAACGAACGCGUUUAGUCGAUCUGCCAGUGACGUUAAACCGUGGAAAAUAUUGAUCACACUGUGAAUAUGCUAAUGCGACGAAAAAACAAAAAAACAAAAAUAAAUCGCAGUGAAAAUAACAGCGAUUGCCAUACUAUAACUGCUGCGUUUCAUUUUUCACGUAGGUACCCGUCCCGCGUUCACACUAUCCGAAUAUCACAAUAACCCGUACAGUAUAAAUUACCACAGAACACUGUAUAGUUGCACCGAUCUCUAGUAGUCUACACUAUUCUAAUCAGUCGCGAUUUCAGAUGUUAUCGACCCGGUGUAUAUGUGAAAUGAUCACUGCCGACGAAUAAUUGUUACCAUAAUAAAUAUUGAUAAAUAUUAGAAUAUUAAUAAAUUCCUGUCU
This is a non-coding RNA of Cinara cedri, 589 nucleotides long. The record is from the annotation of a GenBank genome assembly. NCBI's taxonomy places the organism in Eukaryota, Metazoa, Arthropoda, Insecta, Hemiptera, Aphididae.